This 467-nucleotide ribosomal RNA is filed under the name uncultured bacterium. Its description in RNAcentral is "bacterial SSU rRNA". It matches the Rfam family "Bacterial small subunit ribosomal RNA", at positions 28 to 489 of the family's 1533-position model. The record is from RNAcentral.
GACGAACGCUGGCGGCGUGCUUAACACAUGCAAGUCGAGCGGUAAGGCCCUUUCGGGGGUACACGAGCGGCGAACGGGUGAGUAACACGUGGGUGACCUGCCCUCAGCUCUGGGAUAAGCCUGGGAAACCGGGUCUAGUACCGGAUAUGACUCCAUGACGCAUGUUGUGGGGUGGAAAGCCUUGUGCGGCUGAGAAUGGGCCCGCGGCCUAUCAGCUUGUUGGUGGGGUGAUGGCCUACCAAGGCGACGACGGGUAGCCGGCCUGAGAGGGCGACCGGCCACACUGGGACUGAGACACGGCCCAGACUCCUACGGGAGGCAGCAGUGGGGAAUCUUGCGCAAUGGGCGAAAGCCUGACGCAGCAACGCCGCGUGGAGGAUGAAGGCCCUUGGGUUGUAAACUCCUGUCGGCUGGGAAGAAAUCAUGCGUGCUCAUACCACCGUGUGUUGACUGUACCAGCAAAGGAA